This 407-nucleotide ribosomal RNA is filed under the name uncultured bacterium. Its description in RNAcentral is "partial 16S ribosomal RNA". It matches the Rfam family "Bacterial small subunit ribosomal RNA", at positions 30 to 526 of the family's 1533-position model. The record is from RNAcentral.
AUUGAACGCUGGCGGCAGGCCUAACACAUGCAAGUCGAGCGGAGCGGCGUACGGGUGAGUAAUGCCUAGGAAUCUGCCUGGUAGUGGAGGACAACGUACUUAAACGGGCGCUAAUACCGCAUACUUUCCUAUGCGCCUCGGUCGGAUUGGCUAGUGGGUGGGGUAAAGGGCUACAAAGGCGACGAUCCGUAACUGGUCUGAGGGGAUGAUCAGUCACAAGGGAAAUGAGACACGGUCAAGACUCCUACGGGAGGCAGCAGGGGGGAAUAUUGGACAAUGGGCGAAAGCCUGAUCCAGCAAUGCCGCGUGUGUGAAGAAGGUCUUCGGAUUGUAAAGCACUUUAAGUUGGGAGGCGUUACCAACAGAAUAAGCACCGGCUAACUUCGUGCCAGCAGCCGCGGUAAUAC